This 582-nucleotide ribosomal RNA is filed under the name uncultured Burkholderia sp. RNAcentral's name for it is "bacterial SSU rRNA". It matches the Rfam family "Bacterial small subunit ribosomal RNA", at positions 102 to 680 of the family's 1533-position model. The record is from RNAcentral. Lineage: Bacteria; Pseudomonadati; Pseudomonadota; Betaproteobacteria; Burkholderiales; Burkholderiaceae.
ACGGGUGAGUAAUACAUCGGAACGUGUCCUGGAGUGGGGGAUAGCCCGGCGAAAGCCGGAUUAAUACCGCAUACGCUCUAAGGAGGAAAGGGGGGGAUCUUAGGACCUCUCGCUCAAGGGGCGGCCGAUGGCAGAUUAGCUAGUUGGUGGGGUAAAGGCCUACCAAGGCGACGAUCUGUAGCUGGUCUGAGAGGACGACCAGCCACACUGGGACUGAGACACGGCCCAGACUCCUACGGGAGGCAGCAGUGGGGAAUUUUGGACAAUGGGCGCAAGCCUGAUCCAGCAAUGCCGCGUGUGUGAAGAAGGCCUUCGGGUUGUAAAGCACUUUUGUCCGGAAAGAAAACCCCUGCCCUAAUACGGCGGGGGGAUGACGGUACCGGAAGAAUAAGCACCGGCUAACUACGUGCCAGCAGCCGCGGUAAUACGUAGGGUGCAAGCGUUAAUCGGAAUUACUGGGCGUAAAGCGUGCGCAGGCGGUUCGUUAAGACAGAUGUGAAAUCCCCGGGCUUAACCUGGGAACUGCAUUUGUGACUGGCGGGCUAGAGUAUGGCAGAGGGGGGUAGAAUUCCACGUGUAGCA